Molecule: ribosomal RNA, 253 nt
Filed under: uncultured bacterium
Lineage: Bacteria
Description: partial 16S ribosomal RNA
Rfam family: Bacterial small subunit ribosomal RNA
Source: RNAcentral
UACGUAGGGUGCAAGCGUUGUCCGGAAUUAUUGGGCGUAAAGAGCUCGUAGGCGGUUCGUCGCGUCGGCUGUGAAAUCCCGAGGCUCAACCUCGGGUCUGCAGUCGAUACGGGCGGACUGGAGUUCGGCAGGGGAGACUGGAAUUCCUGGUGUAGCGGUGAAAUGCGCAGAUAUCAGGAGGAACACCCGUGGCUAAGGCGGCUCUCUAGUACGGUACUGACGCUGAGACGCGAAAGCGUGGGGAGCGAACAGG